AGAGUUUGAUCCUGGCUCAGAACGAACGCUGGCGGCGUGCCUAACACAUGCAAGUCGAACGUGAAAGUCCUUCGGGGCGAGUAAAGUGGCGCACGGGUGAGUAGCGCGUGGAUAAUCUACCCGAUGAUCUGGGAUAACAUUUCGAAAGGGGUGCUAAUACCGGAUAAGCCCACGGAGUCUUCGGAUUCUGCGGGAAAAGGAGGGGACCUUCGGGCCUUCUGUCAUCGGAUGAGUCCGCGUACCAUUAGCUAGUUGGUGGGGUAAAGGCCUACCAAGGCUACGAUGGUUAGCUGGUCUGAGAGGAUGAUCAGCCACACUGGAACUGAGACACGGUCCAGACCCCUACGGGAGGCAGCAGUGGGGAAUUUUGCGCAAUGGGGGAAACCCUGACGCAGCAACGCCGCGUGAGUGAUGAAGGCCUUCGGGUCGUAAAGCUCUGUCAGAAGGGAAGAAAUGU
Molecule: ribosomal RNA, 457 nt
Filed under: uncultured bacterium
Lineage: Bacteria
Description: bacterial SSU rRNA
Rfam family: Bacterial small subunit ribosomal RNA
Source: RNAcentral